This is an RNA transcript of Phasianus colchicus (ring-necked pheasant), 4160 nucleotides long. It is a transcript of the gene named signaling lymphocytic activation molecule-like, with no coding region annotated. The record is from RefSeq and is a predicted model, not a curated record. NCBI's taxonomy places the organism in Eukaryota, Metazoa, Chordata, Aves, Galliformes, Phasianidae.
CACAGUGAUGUCCAGUGGGACCAAUGCACGGUGAUACCCCAGGUCAAUCUCAGGGUUCAAAACCGGCCCCUGAGGCACCCCCAGGAGGCAGAGCAGGGGUUUCUCAUUCUGAGACAGCAGCAGAGGGACUCCAUGCUGCGAUGCAUUCAAUGGUUUCCUUUUCACUAUUGCUCUCACGUUUUUGGGUGUGCGCGUUUUGCCCCUCCUGCUCACUGUUCCCUUCUCUUACUCCUUUCCUCUGGGUUUGAUGCUGGGGACUGGGGGUGACGGGGAGUUGUUUUUAUUCCCACUGCCCUCACUGUGGACAGCAGUCCCAUGCCAUUUCCCAGAAGGUCCCUCCAGGGGGACCUUCUACUUCUGUAUCUCUUUAGUAAGGUAUCUGGACUGGUAUCGAAUGCCCUUGCCGCAGGGGGGACCUUCUCAUCUGAGAACCAGGAACAAGCAGUAGUCAUUCCAGCUCAUGUUUAAUGGGAGGCCCGGGGUAAUUCCUUGUGUGUUACAGCCCGAUACCUCCAGCACCAACGUGAGUUUCUGCAGAAAUUCCCCUCUGUGAUAUUUCCCAGUGCCUCACAUGCUUUUCCAGCCCAGAGCAAUCAGCUUGCACUGCCUGGUGCUCAGCCCUGAGCAAGGACAGCCCUGCAGGUCCGAUGUGAGUUUGGGCAUAGCUUUGCUUUUAGCAUCAGAAAUAAUUUAUUGGUGACAAAAGUCACGGAGCGCUCAGAGCCCGGCUCCUCUGGAAAACGGUGGGAGGCAUAAAUGCAGCUUUUAUUUCAUCCUGACACCUAAAUGCGGUCUGUUUUAAAACAAACAGAGGAAUUUGCGCUUCAUGCUGCUGCCUCCGCUUUCUUCCGCAAAACAAGAGAGAAAAAGUAACAAAAACUUGAAAAGAGUAAUAGGAAAAAACCCUUCUCCCAUUGUAAAGCAGCGGCGCUGCGCAGGCUGAGCAGCGGCAGAGAUGAAUAAUUCAUUCCACUAAAAACACAAAAACAACCAAGAUCUUCUCACCCCUUUCCAGCAAUGGAACGUGCAGGCGGAGUUUUUCCAGCCUUAGUGUGUGCUGAGUGCUGCCCCUGCUCCAUCCAUGUCCUGUGCAUGUCCACGUCUCACCAUUCAUGUCCACGUCUCACCAUUCAUGUCCACGUCCCAACAUUCAUGUCCACGUCCCAUCCAUGCUGCAAUUGUGUCCCAUCCGUGCCACAUCCAUGUAUCAUCCAUGUCCCACGUGUGUCCCAUCCAUGUCUCAUUCAUGUCCCAUCUGUGUCAUCUAUGUUUCCUGCGUAUCCCAUCCCUGCUCUGCAUCUCAUCCCAUCCAAUAUUUCCCCAUCCGUGACCCAUCCCUCCUCCUUCAGCCAGGGAAUGCCCACAGCAGUGAGGGCAGCCCCUGUAUGGGAGCUGCUGAAUCACGGCCUGAACCUCUGAUUGACCACUUGAGGCAGGCAAUGAGUCAGCUGUGGGAGCACAGGUGAAGGUAAUUCACUUGUGCUAAUGGAAGGGGUGGAGCCUGGCUCCACCUCUCCUAGACCCCAUUUAAGUCCUGGCUGCCACUGAGGAAAGAUCUCUCAUUCCUCAUGAGAAUAUUGUGAGUCUAAAAUGUCAGCAAGCAUUUUCUAUUUAUUGUCUUGGGGUUGAGUUUAAGCACUGGGGUUGGGUUUAAGCACUGCAGGAGUGAACCGGAGCCCCGCAGUGCUCAGGUUGAGGUUCUCGUGGGCUUUAAGGACCGCCUGCGCUCCUGCUUGCAGCGAAGCUUUGGAGCUGAGGCUGCGGACUGGGACCACUCUGGAUCCCAUGCACCCAGAGUGGGUUAAUCCCCAAAUAUUCACUGUUUUUCCUGCUGUGAGCCAAUGCUGUGGUGUGGGCUGUUUUCGUGCCGCAUCCUCUGCCCCCAGCUGGUGCUGGGCAGCCCCAGGAAUCUGUUACCAUACGUAAAGUGAACUUGGUGCUGGCCAUUUCCUCUUCUCAUGGAGAGUGAGUUAAGGGCCUGUGGCAGAUGAUGUACUUCUGAAGAAAACCAUAAAUCGAUGCUCUGGGCCGUACUGCAACUCUCCGCGGCGCUCUUCAGCGAUGCGUUCAGCAGCACUUUGAAUACUUUCCACUCAAGACAGAAUCAUUCAGCCAAAAAAACAGGAAACACAUCACCCGCAGCAGUGCCUCUGAUUUGAGUACACCUGUUCUCAUAAUGAGCACGGCAGCUGAUAUUAACUCCACUCCAGCAGCAGCUCCGUGAGCCGAGGCAUGGGCUGCAGAGCAUCACUCUGGCUGCUCAUCUCUUGUUGCUGGGUUUGGGGCUUAGGCUGUGGGAUGAUGGAGACAGUGCUUGGCACCCUGGGGAAAGCAACGGUCCUGGGGAUCCCAGCUCACUUCCAGAAUCUCACCCAGCACUUUGGGACAGCCACAUGGAAGAGGAGUGUGGAAAAUCCACUAAGCAAGGAAUACUUGUUCACAUACAACAAAGGUAACUACACCAACUACAAACCGGGACAGAUUCUCUUCCACCCAUCCAACUUCUCACUGGAGAUCCUCAGCACCCAACGGCAGGACCAGCAGCUCUACGAAUACUCUGUCACCACUGGAGCGGGGGAGAAAAACUGGCAGCUCCGACUGGCGGUGUAUGAACCCGUGUCCGAUCCCAGCAUCCACAUCCUCAACUGGAUGCUGGCCAACGACAGCUGCACGGUCACCCUCAACUGCACGGCAGCACAAGGGGACAACGUGUCCUACAGCUGGGCCAGCUCCGAGGCCAGCACCUCAUCACUCUGCACCCGCAACGGCAGCCUCCUGCUGCUCUCCUACGACCCCACCAACAGCAACCUGCCCUGCGCCUGCACCGCCAGCAACCCCGUAAGCCGCCGCACCGCCGCCCUCCACUCCUCCGUCUGCAGAUCCGAGGAGCAAGGCGGCUGGAGGACAGGGAUGCUGCUGCUGGGGGUGGUGCUGCCCAUAAUGAUCCUGAUUGUGCUCGCUGGGGCCUUCACUGUGGCCCAUGUGGCUGCAAACAUGAGACAAGGAAGGGAGCAGUCGCCGCUGGCUGAGGACAGCACAGUGCACACCAUCUACUCCCAGGUGCAGCGGGUGGAGGUGAGUGAGCCCUGCACCCUAAAGUUGUGUCCUUGUAGCUCUAUGGGCUGUGAGGUUGGAGCACAGGGUGCCAAAGCAGCCUUGCAACAGGAGACAGUGAGGUCAUACCCACCCGGGAGCGGGGUGGCUGUGGGCUCCCCAAGUGUCACCUCUGGCACGGCCACUUUACUUUGGGAUUGUUUUGGGUGCUGCAAUCUCCCCGGCCCUCAGCAUCCCAAGGUGGCUCUGGGGAUAAACUGUAUCAGGAGGCCUUGUAGUGCUGGAGGAAGGGGAGAGCAGCGAGCUGGCUGCCAUUGCUCACUUUCUGUUCCCGGUACAGAAGCCAAAGUCCCCCUGCAGCCCUCUGGGCACUGAUCACCCCAGCUGCACCACCAUUUACACCGCAGCCACCGGCACAUCCCUGGCCCCCCACAGCUCUCAGAGCCCCAGCACGGAGCCUAUGACAGUUUAUGCCAGCGUGAUGCUGCCCCUCAGCUGAGCCUCCCCGCGGGGCGGGACCCGGCUCCGCCACCGCACCCUGCAUCCAAACCCCGCAUCCCUGCAGGGGACCUCGCACAUCCCUGCGGAAACGGGGCACGCUGCUCCCGGCCCCAAAGCAUCGCGCCGAUGAUCGCUGGAGCGACGCGUAUGGCCGAAGGAAGGGAAGAAAGCAAAGAGAGCAGCGCGGGGACGGGACGAGACAACAGCAGCUCUCGGAGGGACGGACUCGCCAGGGGGAGCCCACAGGGGGCAACGCGGGCUGCCUAACUACAGAAGAAAAGGAAAACCGACGAAUCAGGAGGUGCCCCGUGGGAGGUUUCGAGGUGCGCGCUGAAGAAGCGGUGUCACAGCGAGGAGCCCCGCGGCUCUCCCAGCUCUCCCGUGGCCGUGGGAAGCGCCGCGUCGCUUCUCCAUCCCCUGGGCUGGGUGUCUGGCUGAGCUUGAGGGUGGGGGCAGCUCUGUGCCCCCAUCACGCACAGCACCGGGACACGGGGUGGCUCAGGGCUGUCGGCUCUUUCCAGCUGUGCCAUAAUCCCACCGCUGCUGGGCUCAGGCAGCAGGGCCGACCUGACCUGCUAGAGAAAAUAAAGCUAUAGGAAAAUCUU